AUUGAACGCUGGCGGCAGGCCUAACACAUGCAAGUCGAGCGGAUGAAGAGAGCUUGCUCUCUGAUUCAGCGGCGGACGGGUGAGUAAUGCCUAGGAAUCUGCCUGAUAGUGGGGGACAACGUUUCGAAAGGAACGCUAAUACCGCAUACGUCCUACGGGAGAAAGCAGGGGACCUUCGGGCCUUGCGCUAUCAGAUGAGCCUAGGUCGGAUUAGCUAGUUGGUGAGGUAAUGGCUCACCAAGGCGACGAUCCGUAACUGGUCUGAGAGGAUGAUCAGUCACACUGGAACUGAGACACGGUCCAGACUCCUACGGGAGGCAGCAGUGGGGAAUAUUGGACAAUGGGCGAAAGCCUGAUCCAGCCAUGCCGCGUGUGUGAGAAGGUCUUCGGAUUGUAAAGCACUUUAAGUUGGGAGGAAGGGCAUUAACCUAAUACGUUAGUGUUUUGACGUUACCGACAGAAUAAGCACCGGCUAACUUCGUGCC
This 485-nucleotide ribosomal RNA is filed under the name uncultured bacterium. RNAcentral's name for it is "bacterial SSU rRNA". It matches the Rfam family "Bacterial small subunit ribosomal RNA", at positions 30 to 509 of the family's 1533-position model. The record is from RNAcentral.